Non-coding RNA from Podarcis lilfordi (Lilford's wall lizard), 381 nucleotides. The record is from the annotation of a GenBank genome assembly. Lineage: Eukaryota; Metazoa; Chordata; Lepidosauria; Squamata; Lacertidae.
GCAAGGUAUGGAUUCUGACAGCACAGCUGGAUUUCACAGCAUUGGCCUUUCAAAUGAGGAUGGAUAUGCAAGUCUUCCAGGGUUCCCUCUCCUUUUCAGUUCAUUCAAAUGUGGUACAAGGAUUCAAAGCGUUUCUUCAGGUCCAAAAUCCUUUUGAGGCAAAUGGAAAUGGCUUUGUCAAGCAGUUCUGGGCAGAAGUAUUUCUCUGUUUAUUUCCAAACUCCAAUACAGAGGAGCAGGCCAGUGGAACCUGCACUGGAGAGGAGAAGCUGGAAGAUCUCCCUUCAUCUGGUUUUGAGAUGAGCAUGACUGGCCACAGCUACAGUGUCUAUAAUGCUGUCUAUGCAACAGCACAUGUUCUACAUGCCAUGUUGUUGCCCA